Nanorana parkeri is the source of this 116-nucleotide long non-coding RNA. RefSeq lists it as uncharacterized. The transcript is spliced from 3 exons. NCBI's taxonomy places the organism in Eukaryota, Metazoa, Chordata, Amphibia, Anura, Dicroglossidae. The record is from RefSeq and is a predicted model, not a curated record.
CUCUGGUCUGUGUCUGCUGAGGUUCUCAUGAACAAGCAGCAGCUCAUACAAUCUGCUGUCACUCAAUGGUAGAGGAGGAUCCAGAUAGUAUUGCUGGGAUAGCUUCUCAGCACAGA